GGCUCAGAUUGAACGCUGGCGGCAGGCCUAACACAUGCAAGUCGAACGGUAACAGGAAACAGCUUGCUGUUUCGCUGACGAGUGGCGGACGGGUGAGUAAUGUCUGGGAAACUGCCUGAUGGAGGGGGAUAACUACUGGAAACGGUAGCUGAUACCGCAUAACGUCGCAAGACCAAAGAGGGGGACCCUCGGGCCUCUUGCCAUCGGAUGUGCCCAGAUGGGAUUAGCUUGUUGGUGGGGUAACGGCUCACCAAGGCGACGAUCCCUAGCUGGUCUGAGAGGAUGACCAGCCACACUGGAACUGAGACACGGUCCAGACUCCUACGGGAGGCAGCAGUGGGGAAUAUUGCACAAUGGGCGCAAGCCUGAUGCAGCCAUGCCGCGUGUAUGAAGAAGGCCUUCGGGUUGUAAAGUACUUUCAGCGGGGAGGAAGGGAGUAAAGUUAAUACCUUUGCUCAUUGACGUUACCCGCAGAAGAAGCACCGGCUAACUCCGUG
This 497-nucleotide ribosomal RNA is filed under the name uncultured bacterium. RNAcentral's name for it is "bacterial SSU rRNA". It matches the Rfam family "Bacterial small subunit ribosomal RNA", at positions 21 to 507 of the family's 1533-position model. The record is from RNAcentral.